AUGAACGCUGGCGGCGUGCCUAAUACAUGCAAGUCGAGCGAACAGAUAAGGAGCUUGCUCCUUUGACGUUAGCGGCGGACGGGUGAGUAACACGUGGGUAACCUACCUAUAAGACUGGGAUAACUUCGGGAAACCGGAGCUAAUACCGGAUAACAUUUGGAACCGCAUGGUUCUAAAGUGAAAGAUGGUUUUGCUAUCACUUAUAGAUGGACCCGCGCCGUAUUAGCUAGUUGGUAAGGUAACGGCUUACCAAGGCGACGAUACGUAGCCGACCUGAGAGGGUGAUCGGCCACACUGGAACUGAGACACGGUCCAGACUCCUACGGGAGGCAGCAGUAGGGAAUCUUCCGCAAUGGGCGAAAGCCUGACGGAGCAACGCCGCGUGAGUGAUGAAGGGUUUCGGCUCGUAAAACUCUGUUAUUAGGGAAGAACAAAUGUGUAAGUAUCUGUGCACGUCUUGACGGUACCUAAUCAGAAAGCCACGGCCAACUACGUG
This 496-nucleotide ribosomal RNA is filed under the name uncultured bacterium. RNAcentral's name for it is "partial 16S ribosomal RNA". It matches the Rfam family "Bacterial small subunit ribosomal RNA", at positions 29 to 507 of the family's 1533-position model. The record is from RNAcentral.